ACUUAACCUUUUUUUUCAUUACAAACAAAAAUUUGUUUACCAUUUUUUUUUCUCUUCUUUUGCUUCCUUUUUUGAUAGAUCCUGAUCAUGAUUGGAAGUAACAGUUUAAUUCAACUAUAUCAACAGUUGAACGUGAUUAGAAUCAUCUUGUGAUGUUUUGCAGUUCCCAAAUGGUCGGGUUAAAUUUGUUAACGCGAUUUUCACUUGAUUCGGGGCUGGACACAAAUAAAUCAACGUAAAUUAACCUUGAUUCUUGGCGUAAAGUAAUUUAAAAAAUUACUAUUUUCAACUCAAUGGACAAUUUUAUACCCAGAAAUUGAUUGUGAAAAAUGUUCAUUAUCAUCUUCCAUACAAUCUACUGUUAUAUUGAUUUUAAUUGAACCAUUAUUCAACUUAAACAUGACGCAAGUCAUCUCAACACCUCAAGUUCAAGCGAAUUGAAAACUCAGUAUAACUAAUCGAUGAACACGAAAUUUUUGAACGAUUCAGUUCAACAAAAAGAGUUGAUUUAAUGAGUGAAGAUUUACCCAUUAAAGUAAAUUAUGGAUUGUAAUACAUUUAGCUUCCAAAAUCUGGAACCAAGCAAAUUGCCUUGUAACUUGUAGUCAAUUAACAGGAUUUCAAUUAAAGCCCUCCACAACAGGAUUUACUUUCACCUUUCACCCAAAAGUGUUUAUGGUUUGCUAAUAUAAAACUUGAAAUCACGAUCUUAACACAGUAAUCAUUAGGAUAAUAAUGAUAAUGAUGGACCACGGAAACAAUUGACCUUCCAAGGAUGCAUACCAUAACCAGCCCAAAUUGCAGGAUCUACUUAUUUGUGGUACCAACGGAUCAUUCAUCAAGUUUCAAGUUUCAAAACUCUAAUUACAGGUUAUCAUGAGUGUGUUAAUCUGUGAAUAGCUAAACUGACCAUUAUAAUAAUGAAAGAGACAACAAUUUGCAAUGAAGAUGAUCAUGAACCUUUUGGCAGAAGGAGAAGAAGAUUUAAUUUUAAACAAGUUUCAUUCAUCUGCUAAUCUUUUAAUUGAAUCUUUAUCCCUUUAUUAACCUUUACAAAAACACUGAGCAAAUCCCAUGAUGAUAAUCUUACAUUGUAAAUUAAAUUACAAUUUUCACUAUAAUCAGGUUUAAAUGAUCAUCAAUUGCAAGUUGAUUGCUUGAUUUAUAAUUUCAAUUUCAAUUCAUUAUCCAUCGUCUAAAACAUUAUCACUAAUACCUGUAAUCUCAACUCAAUGUACUCAAUGUAUUAAUAUCAAACCUUCAACAUGAUAUUAAUAGAUUAGCUUUUCGCACAAGUCUAUUUUAGCUUAGCUAAAGGAUUGUACCUUUUUUUAUUAAGUGUUAAUGGGCCAAUGAUGAGACAAAGUGUUAUUUACCUACAUUAAUAAUCAUUAAAAUUGCCCGAUAAUCAA
Non-coding RNA from Tetranychus urticae (two-spotted spider mite), 1412 nucleotides. The record is from RefSeq and is a predicted model, not a curated record. NCBI's taxonomy places the organism in Eukaryota, Metazoa, Arthropoda, Arachnida, Trombidiformes, Tetranychidae.